GAUCUAUUCAAUUAUAUCUCAUUAGAACUGCAUACUAAAUUAACUAUGAUUAGAACUAUAUACCAAAUUAACUAUGAUUAAUAUUUGUAUUGAUGUUGAAAUCUGGUCGAACUGUGUUACGACCAGAUGACCAUAGCAACACUUGAAUUUGUUUAGGGGAAAUGGACCCUGCUUGCACCCCUUUUGCUUCAAUACUUAAAUUCUUUCGAUGAUGAGCACCUCUUAACAAGUUCACCUGCGUUCACAACAAACAUAGUUAGACGAGACGCCGGAUGUUUUUCUGGUGUGACCCCUCCAACCCUUAAGUCAAUUUCUA
RNAcentral lists this long non-coding RNA (316 nucleotides) under Citrus maxima (pomelo). RNAcentral's name for it is "long non-coding RNA (CMAX_LNC001448)". Lineage: Eukaryota; Viridiplantae; Streptophyta; Magnoliopsida; Sapindales; Rutaceae. The record is from RNAcentral.